RNAcentral lists this long non-coding RNA (799 nucleotides) under Ananas comosus (pineapple). RNAcentral's name for it is "long non-coding RNA (ACOM_LNC031915)". The record is from RNAcentral. Lineage: Eukaryota; Viridiplantae; Streptophyta; Magnoliopsida; Poales; Bromeliaceae.
CAAUCCGAAAUUGUUUUUGCCGUCGAACUUCUCGAUUUCAAAUUUUGUGGCCAUCUCCGUCGAUCUCUCUCGUAGAUCGGUAACCUUCAGCUCUGAUACCAAUUGUUGGGAAUCCGGUACUCGCCCCGGUACCGGAUCUUGUGAAUCCGCAACCAGUUCCGAUACCGACUGCUAUGGAUCCGGUACUGAUGGUUGGGAUUCUGCAAUGGAAACGUCAAAUCAGAUUUUUACCAUAAACCCGUCUACUCAACAAAAGCUGAUACAAUCAUACAAGAGAAAAAUAUGCAGGUAAAAUAAGAUUCAUUAAAUAAGAGAAGAUUAUACUUGACCCAUCUUCUGCACAGAGUAGCUACAACCCGAGCCCUUUUUCUGAAUCUCUUCUACCCAUCUCUCGUCUUCUAUAACACCCAAAGAAGACAACCUCUCCACAUGCACCCGUGCACAAGGUGCACUCAAAGAAUGGCUAUUCUCUUUUUCUCUCUCUUUUUCUCUCUGGUACGGUAGCCCAAAAGCUCCAGCAGUACUCCCCCCAAAAACAAACCCAUCAAGAGCUAUUUAUAAAGCUCUACCAAAACGUACCCCAAUACUAAUAUAUUUAGAAUUCCGACUUUAAUUAAUAUCUAAAUAUAUCUUAAUUAAUCUCUAAUAGGUUUAAAUAUUAAUUCUAAUCUAGUUAGGUUUAUCCUCUAAUUAAUAUUUAAAUCUUAAUUUAUCUCCAACAGAUUUAAAUAUUAAUUUUUAUCUAAAUAGAAUUCAACAACAAAUCUAAUCAAAUCCUAACAACAAUGGUGAUGUUGGG